AACGAUGAUCACUAGCUGUCUGCGAUACAUCGUAAGUGGUUAAUCGAAAGCGAUAAGUGAUCCACCUGGGGAGUACGUCGGCAACGAUGAAACUCGAAGGAAUUGACGGGGGCCCGCACAAGCGGAGGAGCAUGUGGUCUAAUUCGAUGAUACGCGAGGAACCUUACCUGGGCUUUGAACGUAUGGUGCAUGAGCGUGAAAGCACUCUUUCCUUCACAGGACUUCAUACGAGGUGCUGCAUGGUUGUCGUCAGCUCGUGCCGUGAGGUGUUAGGUUAAGUCCUGCAACGAGCGCAACCCCUGUUUUUAGUUGCCACGCAGGUUAUGCUGGGCACUCUAGACACGCCUGCCUGCGCAAGCAGAGAGGAAGGUGGGGAUGACGUCAAAUCAGCACGGCCCUUACGUCCAGGGCUACACACGUGCUACAAUGGUCGGCACAGAGGGUGGCUACCCGGCAACGGGAUGCUAAUCUCCAAAGUCGAUCUUAGUUCGGAUCGAAGUCUGCAACUCGACUUCGUGAAGUUGGAUUCGCUNGUCCUCGCCUAUCAGCCAUGAUACGGUGAAUACGUUCCCGGGCGUUGUACACACCGCCCGUCAAGCCAUGGAAGUUGGCGUACACUCGAAUCGGUUACCGUAAGGG
Molecule: ribosomal RNA, 639 nt
Filed under: uncultured organism
Description: bacterial SSU rRNA
Rfam family: Bacterial small subunit ribosomal RNA
Source: RNAcentral